This 791-nucleotide ribosomal RNA is filed under the name Acinetobacter soli. Its description in RNAcentral is "bacterial SSU rRNA". It matches the Rfam family "Bacterial small subunit ribosomal RNA", at positions 85 to 869 of the family's 1533-position model. Lineage: Bacteria; Pseudomonadati; Pseudomonadota; Gammaproteobacteria; Moraxellales; Moraxellaceae. The record is from RNAcentral.
CUAUCACUUAGCGGCGGACGGGUGAGUAAUGCUUAGGAAUCUGCCUAUUAGUGGGGGACAACAUCUCGAAAGGGAUGCUAAUACCGCAUACGUCCUACGGGAGAAAGCAGGGGAUCACUUGUGACCUUGCGCUAAUAGAUGAGCCUAAGUCGGAUUAGCUAGUUGGUGGGGUAAAGGCCUACCAAGGCGACGAUCUGUAGCGGGUCUGAGAGGAUGAUCCGCCACACUGGGACUGAGACACGGCCCAGACUCCUACGGGAGGCAGCAGUGGGGAAUAUUGGACAAUGGGGGGAACCCUGAUCCAGCCAUGCCGCGUGUGUGAAGAAGGCCUUAUGGUUGUAAAGCACUUUAAGCGAGGAGGAGGCUCUUUUGGUUAAUACCCAAGAUGAGUGGACGUUACUCGCAGAAUAAGCACCGGCUAACUCUGUGCCAGCAGCCGCGGUAAUACAGAGGGUGCAAGCGUUAAUCGGAUUUACUGGGCGUAAAGCGCGCGUAGGCGGCCAAUUAAGUCAAAUGUGAAAUCCCCGAGCUUAACUUGGGAAUUGCAUUCGAUACUGGUUGGCUAGAGUGUGGGAGAGGAUGGUAGAAUUCCAGGUGUAGCGGUGAAAUGCGUAGAGAUCUGGAGGAAUACCGAUGGCGAAGGCAGCCAUCUGGCCUAACACUGACGCUGAGGUGCGAAAGCAUGGGGAGCAAACAGGAUUAGAUACCCUGGUAGUCCAUGCCGUAAACGAUGUCUACUAGCCGUUGGGGCCUUUGAGGCUUUAGUGGCGCAGCUAACGCGAUAAGUAGAC